GCAGCAUCCACAUGACAGGCGGCGCCGACGGGGUAAAUUCUGAGAUCCUGCCCCUGAGCUUUCAUGAGCUGUUGAACCAUCCGGAAUUCACAGGCCUGUCAUGAGAGACACGAUGAGAAGUCCUUAAAGGUAGAUCGCUGAUUCACAGGGGAGCAGGCGGAGGCAAGGGUGAGUCAGUGCUUGGAACUCAGUCAUCCAGAUUUGGCUCUGGAAACUUCUGAAGCUGUAGCCUUUGGGGAUCCCUGACUGCGAGUACAGGAAGCCAACGCUAUGUGGUCUUCUGGAAACUCAUUAUCUUUUUCACUGGUGCUAUCUGGGAAAAACAGAUGAAAACCUGAAGGUGUUCUGUAUGUGUGCUUUCAAAAGCAAGGAUCUGGCCGGACGCAGUGGCUCAGGCCUGUAAUCCCAGCACUUUGGGAGGCCGAGGCAGGAGGAUCACCUGAGGUCAGGAGUUUGAGACCAGCUUGGCCAACAUGGCGAAACGGUCU
RNAcentral lists this small RNA (488 nucleotides) under Pan troglodytes (chimpanzee). RNAcentral's name for it is "retained intron". The record is from RNAcentral. Lineage: Eukaryota; Metazoa; Chordata; Mammalia; Primates; Hominidae.